This 439-nucleotide ribosomal RNA is filed under the name uncultured bacterium. Its description in RNAcentral is "partial 16S ribosomal RNA". It matches the Rfam family "Bacterial small subunit ribosomal RNA", at positions 338 to 795 of the family's 1533-position model. The record is from RNAcentral.
CCUACGGGAGGCUGCAGUGGGGGAUAUUGCACAAUGGAGGAAACUCUGAUGCAGCGACGCCGCGUGAGGGAAGACGGUCUUCGGAUUGUAAACCUCUGUCUUUGGGGAAGAAAAUGACGGUACCCAAAGAGGAAGCUCCGGCUAACUACGUGCCAGCAGCCGCGGUAAUACGUAGGGAGCGAGCGUUGUCCGGAAUUACUGGGUGUAAGGGGAGCGUAGGCGGGCGAGAAAGUUGAAUGUUAAAUCUACCGGCUUAACUGGUAGCUGCGUUCAAACCUUCUUGUCUUGAGUGAAGUAGAGGCAGGCGGAAGGCGUGGUGUAGCGGUGAAAUGCGGAGAUAUUAGGAGGAACACCAGUGGCGAAGGCGGCAUGCUGGGCUUUAACUGACGCGGAGGCUCGAAAGCGUGGGGAGCAAACAGGAUUAGAUACCCUUGUAGUC